Leptinotarsa decemlineata (Colorado potato beetle) is the source of this 669-nucleotide long non-coding RNA. The record is from RefSeq and is a predicted model, not a curated record. Lineage: Eukaryota; Metazoa; Arthropoda; Insecta; Coleoptera; Chrysomelidae.
CCCAUAAACAAUUAGCCACUACUUUCAAUGCCACGAUUUUGAUAACAACAAAAGCACUGUCUUUCGAAGGAGGUUUUACUAACCAAAGCUACCAUAAGGUUUUUUUUAUAUUCAUCUGAACGGACCAUCACGUUACGUUUGAAAGAGAUAUGGAUCUGUGUGUUGUCUGCAUAUAAAUGAGAAUAACAAUGUCCAAGGGAGUUAACGAGCUGGCUAGCAUAAAUAGAAGAGAGUACUGGACCUAGGAUUGAACCUUGUGGCACUCCCGACUUCAAUUCUGGAAAAUUCGACUUAUUGGCUGCUGCUGUCACAUUCUGAUAUCUUCCCCUCGAAUAAAUAUUGAAGAAUUCAACACUAUCUGCAGGUAUAGAGAUAACGUAGAUACGUGAAAAGUUGCCAAAAAGGCUUGAAAGUUUCCCCGAGAACAAUUAAAUGACGAAAGUUCUUGUGCACUCCUGUUAGUUCUUGUACAUUGUCAAUGACCAGAAGGAUGCUCGUCGACAACGAAGAAGUGCCAAAAGGGCCUUGAUGAACGACCCUAGGGGGUGAGAGAAGACAAUGGAAUGACGUCACCUCUUAAGCAACCCUGUUGGUGUAGAUUGUCAUCAAUGAACAGAAAGUAUCGAAGAAGAAGAAGAAGUGUCAAAAUGACACAUAUUGCUGUUUUUU